CUAUGAUGAUACCUGAAGGCUUGUUUCUCAAAACAUCGCAGUGGCCGCCCAAGACCUUUCACCAUCGUCGGGCUUGAGAGUUUAUGCUGUUUUUAUCGUUCAUUGGAUGUCUGAAUAA
Molecule: small nucleolar RNA, 118 nt
Filed under: Trifolium pratense (red clover)
Lineage: Eukaryota; Viridiplantae; Streptophyta; Magnoliopsida; Fabales; Fabaceae
Description: snoRNA SNORD14
Source: RNAcentral